This 1607-nucleotide small RNA is filed under the name Cryptococcus neoformans H99. RNAcentral describes it as "Cryptococcus neoformans var. grubii H99 hypothetical RNA". Lineage: Eukaryota; Fungi; Basidiomycota; Tremellomycetes; Tremellales; Cryptococcaceae. The record is from RNAcentral.
GCUCUUUGUAUUUUCCUGACUUUUCGCAGAGGGAUUUGAAAAGAGAGCCAUCCUUGCGAAGGAGAUUCUGAGUGAUUGAUUAGCCAGAUCCGUAACCGUACCAGCUGGGUUAGUUCCAGUCACUCACAAUUGGAGUAUCAAACUCAGCGACCUCUCCAUCCGAUAGAACAAGAAGCCUGUCAUAAUCUAUGACGGAAGACAACCUGUGCGCAAUAGUCAACAGUGUCGAAUCCCUGAACUCUGAACGGAUCGCUGCUUGAAUGGCUUCAUCAGUCGCAAAGUCCACAGAUGCAGUGGCUUCAUCCAUGAUCUGUGGCAUACGAAAUUAGCUUGCCGUUACAAGUCGAUAGUCGCAUCGCUUACAAUCAGGUUGGACCUCCUCAACAGAGCCCUUGCCAUAGCGAUUAACUGUCGUUGACCUUGUGAGAAGUUACUCCCCCCGGCCGAUACUUCUGUAGUGAGGGUAAUGGUUGUUCUGACAUUGGCUGAACUAAGAGCAGACCCCAGGGCGGAUGAUGCAGAUGACUGUACUGCUGAUUCCUCGGCAACUAUCGCAUCGAGACGGCGGCUGGAAGCGACACGACUGGGAGCGCGACUUGCCAAGGGGGUGACCCCUUGAAGUCCAAGAUUCACUCUGGCAAGAGCGUCGUAGAGUUCCGCAUCGGUGUGUUCGGCGAAAGGAUCGAGGUUCUCUCGAACGGUACCAGAGAAUAAGACAGCAUCUGUAGAAACAUCAGCGAGGGACAACCAAGAGAAUUUCCACAAAUGGGCCUCACCUUGAGGGAUGUAGGUAAUACGGGAGCGCUGCAGCCCUGUUAGUACUCGGUAACGUACAGUUACGAGAAACUCACUAAGUCAUCAACACCAAUUUUGGUGAUAUCUAUACCAUCCAGGAAGAUACUUCCAGAAGUGGGGUCGGUGAAUCUCAACAAGCUCAUACCCAAAGUCGACUUUCCGCUUCCGGUACGACCAAUCAAACCAAUCUUUUCCCCCGCUUUGACGUCGAACGACCCCUUGAAAACAGUAGGAAGAUCUGGAGCGUAUUUGAUUUCGACAUCCCGGACGCUGAGGAAGUCAGAAGCACCUGUGUUGGCCGGCCAAUAUGCAGGUGGUCGAUUGCUGGCGAUGACAGCAGGAGGCUCCUGAGGGACAGACAAAUACUCCUGCACACGCUCUACUGAAUUGAAAUCCAUCUCAAGCUGACCCCAGAAUCGAGAAACCCAGUAACAAGCGGAGACAAAUGACUGAGCUGAGACGAUCGCCAUACCGGCGGAACCUGCGGGAACGGCUCCACUGAGAGCGAGCAAAGUCGUCAACGCAACAGAAAUCGCACCAAGGAAGUCGAAGCGGAGGAGGAGCUGAGACAAGGUGUCAACCCUAAUGUAAUCAAACUUGAUGCACUCAACAUACCCAACGGUUCAUCAUCUGCGUUCAUAAUGUCAGAAAGGAUCUCAGCACUUAUGAUUGGAGUAACUCACCCAGUAAUAAUAGAACGCUUGGUUUGUUUGGUCAACUUGUUUACACAGUUGUUCCAUGAAUCGUGCCUCUGCAGAGAAAGCUCGGACAGAAAUAACACCAUCAAGGAGUUCGGCGAAGCCGGAACUAAA